Molecule: ribosomal RNA, 906 nt
Filed under: Listeria monocytogenes
Lineage: Bacteria; Bacillati; Bacillota; Bacilli; Caryophanales; Listeriaceae
Description: partial 23S ribosomal RNA
Rfam family: Bacterial large subunit ribosomal RNA
Source: RNAcentral
UGAGUACGGCGGAACACGUGAAAUUCCGUCGGAAUCCGGGAGGACCAUCUCCCAAGGCUAAAUACUCCCUAGUGACCGAUAGUGAACCAGUACCGUGAGGGAAAGGUGAAAAGCACCCCGGAAGGGGAGUGAAACAGUUCCUGAAACCGUGUGCCUACAAGUAGUUAGAGCCCGUUAAUGGGUGAUAGCGUGCCUUUUGUAGAAUGAACCGGCGAGUUACGAUUUGUUGCAAGGUUAAGCGGAAAAAGCGGAGCCGUAGCGAAAGCGAGUCUGAAUAGGGCGCAUAAGUAACAGGUCGUAGACCCGAAACCAGGUGAUCUACCCAUGUCCAGGAUGAAGGUAAGGUAAUACUUACUGGAGGUCCGAACCCACGCACGUUGAAAAGUGCGGGGAUGAGGUGUGGGUAGCGGAGAAAUUCCAAUCGAACUUGGAGAUAGCUGGUUCUCUCCGAAAUAGCUUUAGGGCUAGCCUCGAGGUAAAGAGUCAUGGAGGUAGAGCACUGUUUGGACUAGGGGCCCUUCUCGGGUUACCGAAUUCAGAUAAACUCCGAAUGCCAUGUACUUAUACUCGGGAGUCAGACUGCGAGUGAUAAGAUCCGUAGUCGAAAGGGAAACAGCCCAGACCACCAGUUAAGGUCCCCAAAUAUAUGUUAAGUGGAAAAGGAUGUGGGGUUGCUUAGACAACCAGGAUGUUGGCUUAGAAGCAGCCACCAUUGAAAGAGUGCGUAAUAGCUCACUGGUCGAGUGACCCCGCGCCGAAAAUGUACCGGGGCUAAACAUAUUACCGAAACUGUGGAUGAACCUCUUUAGAGGUUCGUGGUAGGAGAGCGUUCUAAGGGCGGUGAAGUCAGACCGGAAGGACUGGUGGAGCGCUUAGAAGUGAGAAUGCCGGUAUGAGUAGCGAAAG